GACGAACGCUGGCGGCGUGCUUAACACAUGCAAGUCGAACGGUAAGGCCCUUCGGGGUACACGAGUGGCGAACGGGUGAGUAACACGUGGGUGAUCUGCCCUGCACUUUGGGAUAAGCCUGGGAAACUGGGUCUAAUACCGAAUAGGACUGCGCACUGCAUGGUGUGUGGUGGAAAGCUUUUGCGGUGUGGGAUGGGCCCGCGGCCUAUCAGCUUGUUGGUGGGGUGAUGGCCUACCAAGGCGACGACGGGUAGCCGGCCUGAGAGGGUGACCGGCCACACUGGGACUGAGAUACGGCCCAGCCUCCUACGGGAGGCAGCAGUGGGGAAUAUUGCACCAUGGGCGCAAGCCUGAUGCAGCGACGCCGCGUGAGGGAUGACGGCCUUCGGGUUGUAAACCUCUUUCAGCACAGACGAAGCGCAAGUGACGGUAUGUGCAGAAGAAGGACCGGCCAACUACGUGCCAGCAGCCGCCGUAA
This 478-nucleotide ribosomal RNA is filed under the name uncultured bacterium. Its description in RNAcentral is "partial 16S ribosomal RNA". It matches the Rfam family "Bacterial small subunit ribosomal RNA", at positions 28 to 523 of the family's 1533-position model. The record is from RNAcentral.